RNAcentral lists this transfer RNA (73 nucleotides) under Paludibacteraceae bacterium. RNAcentral's name for it is "tRNA-Phe". It matches the Rfam family "tRNA". From Rfam's summary of the family: Transfer RNA (tRNA) molecules are approximately 80 nucleotides in length. The record is from RNAcentral. Lineage: Bacteria; Pseudomonadati; Bacteroidota; Bacteroidia; Bacteroidales; Paludibacteraceae.
GGUGCCAUAGCUCAGUUGGUAGGGCAAAGGACUGAAAAUCCUUGUGUCCCCGGUUCGAUUCCUGGUGGCACCA